This is a non-coding RNA of Podarcis lilfordi (Lilford's wall lizard), 126 nucleotides long. The record is from the annotation of a GenBank genome assembly. NCBI's taxonomy places the organism in Eukaryota, Metazoa, Chordata, Lepidosauria, Squamata, Lacertidae.
AACUAAGUUUGUUCUGAGUAUGAGCUUUCGUGUGCAUGCACAGUUCUUCAGAUACUUCAGAUUCUUCAGGUAUCUGAAGAAGUGUGCAUGCACACGAAAGCUUAUACUGUACCCAGAACAAACUUA